AGGACCAAGUUUCCUCUGUGCAGAGGAAGAGUGCCCUCCUCCCCGGCGAUGCCUGCCUCUCCCGUCAGUCCUGCUGCUGCCCCUGCGGACACGGGAAAUGACAGCCCCCCAUCCACCAUGAUGCAUCUCUAUGACUGGGAGAAAUCAGCUAUUUCAAUCCUUCUCCACAUGGAACAGGCCUUAGAGCUGCCAUGCAUCAUCAGCCUGCCAAGCCUCUCUGCUGUUAAGAACGUUCUCUUCUUGUUUAUUUGUUGGUUGCUGGACUCCCUACACAACCUAGUGGACUUCAUUGCCCAGGAGGCAUCUUGUGCUCUGCUGGGCAGCUGACCCUCUCGUGGGCUGGGACCCAUCAGAACCUUUCCAAUGUCUCCACCCUGCAAGGUUCCCUCUGCCAGGGGAGCCUGAGAGUGGCCCCUCAGGGAGGCCCAGAAGCGGCCCUGCCACAGCACAUUUCUUUUGAAGUCUUAUGUUUUAUCUCAGGAAAUCAUGUGGAUUUUACGUUCCUUGCCAUUUCCAGAAUUCAUAUGUGUUUGUUUUCAUAUAAGCAUGUUUUAACCCUAAAUCUUCAAGUAAAAUUGAUGCCCCGGGAUGAUA
Molecule: non-coding RNA, 594 nt
Organism: Heterocephalus glaber (naked mole-rat)
Lineage: Eukaryota; Metazoa; Chordata; Mammalia; Rodentia; Bathyergidae
Source: RefSeq, a predicted model, not a curated record